GGAGCCGUAGCGAAAGCGAGUUUUAACUGAGCGUUCAGUUACUUGACGUAGACCCGAAACCGGGCGACCUACCCAUGAGCAGGAUGACGCGAAAGUAAAAUUUCGUGGAGGUCCGAACCCACGAGCGUUGAAAAGCUCGGGGAUGACGUGUGGGUAGCGGUGAAAUUCCAAUCGAGCCCGGAGAUAGCUGGUUCGCCCCGAAAUAGCUUUAGGGCGAGCCUCAAGGUGAGAGAUACGGAGGUAGAGCACUGAAUGUCCUAGGGGGUAUUGCACCUACCGAAGA
This 283-nucleotide ribosomal RNA is filed under the name Clostridioides difficile. RNAcentral describes it as "partial 23S ribosomal RNA". It matches the Rfam family "Bacterial large subunit ribosomal RNA", at positions 662 to 945 of the family's 2925-position model. The record is from RNAcentral. Lineage: Bacteria; Bacillati; Bacillota; Clostridia; Peptostreptococcales; Peptostreptococcaceae.